This 477-nucleotide ribosomal RNA is filed under the name uncultured Planctomycetales bacterium. RNAcentral's name for it is "bacterial SSU rRNA". It matches the Rfam family "Bacterial small subunit ribosomal RNA", at positions 365 to 832 of the family's 1533-position model. The record is from RNAcentral. Lineage: Bacteria; Pseudomonadati; Planctomycetota; Planctomycetia; Planctomycetales.
UUCGCAAUGCCCGAAAGGGUGACGAAGCGACGCCGCGUGCGGGAAGAGGGCCUUCGGGUUGUAAACCGCUGUCGGGAGUUAAGAAAUGUAAGGAUGUUAAUAGCAUCUUUGCUUGACUAAGGCUCCGGAGGAAGCCACGGCUAACUCUGUGCCAGCAGCCGCGGUAAUACAGAGGCGGCAAGCGUUGUUCGGAAUUAUUGGGCGUAAAGAGCACGUAGGCGGCUAUGUAAGUCGGUUGUGAAAGCCUUCCGCUCAACGGGAGAACAGCAUCCGAUACUGCAUGGCUUGAGUGCGGGAGGGGAGAGUGGAACUUCUGGUGGAGCGGUGAAAUGCGUAGAUAUCAGAAGGAACGCCGGCGGCGAAAGCGGCUCUCUGGCCCAUAACUGACGCUGAGUGUGCGAAAGCUAGGGGAGCAAACGGGAUUAGAUACCCCGGUAGUCCUAGCCGUAAACGAUGGGCACUAAGUAGAGGGGUUUU